RNAcentral lists this ribosomal RNA (484 nucleotides) under uncultured bacterium. RNAcentral's name for it is "partial 16S ribosomal RNA". It matches the Rfam family "Bacterial small subunit ribosomal RNA", at positions 899 to 1397 of the family's 1533-position model. The record is from RNAcentral.
ACUCAAAUGAAUUGACGGGGACCCGCACAAGCGGAGGAUCAUGUUGUUUAAUUCGAUGCUAAGCGAAGAACCUUACCAGGGUUUGACAUCCUUGGAAUUUUGCCGAAAGGCGAGAGUGCCGCAAGGAACCAAGUGACAGAUGAUGCAUGGCCGUCGUCAGCUCGUGUCGUGAGAUGUUUGGUUAAGUCCAUCAACGAGCGCAACCCUUGUGAAUAGUUGUAUUUUUCUAUUCAAACUGCCCCGGUAACGGGGAGGAAGGAGGGGAUGAGGUCAGGUCAGUAUUUCUCUUACACCCUGGGCUACAAACGUGAUACAAUGGCCGGUACAAUGGGCAGCGAAACCGCGAGGUGGAGCAAAUCUCAUCAAAGCCGGUCUCAGUUCGGAUUGCAGGCUGAAACUCGCCUGCAUGAAGUCGGAUUCGCUAGUAAUCGUAGGUCAGCACACUACGGUGAAUACGUUCCCGGGUCUUGUACACACCGCCCGU